This 253-nucleotide ribosomal RNA is filed under the name uncultured bacterium. RNAcentral's name for it is "partial 16S ribosomal RNA". It matches the Rfam family "Bacterial small subunit ribosomal RNA", at positions 524 to 776 of the family's 1533-position model. The record is from RNAcentral.
UACGGAGGGUGCGAGCGUUGUUCGGAAUUACUGGGCGUAAAGCGCGUGCAGGCGGCCGACUAAGUCAGGUGUGAAAGCCCGGGGCUCACCUCCGGAAGUGCGCUUGAAACUGGUCGGCUAGAGUACGGGAGAGGGAAGCGGAAUUCCUGGUGUAGCGGUGAAAUGCGUAGAUAUCAGGAGGAACACCGAUGGCGAAGGCAGGUCUCUGGGCCACUACUGACGCUGAGAAGCGAAAGCAUGGGGAGCGAACAGG